GCGAGCUGUAAUAUGACAAGCAACGCGAGCGUGAGUCCAAGAUGCUUAAAUUGUAUUCAAAUGCAGUUACCGCACAAGUGCGUGAAGGUGUAGAACGUUCUGCGUGUUUAAUUUGUGCAGUUUUUUUCUUUUUCGUGCAUGUACACUUAUUUUAUUUGACUAGUAACAUUUAAGUUCGUAUUCAACUUCACUUAAUGGAAGAGUUGCAGUUGACACUGGCAAUAUGCAGAAUAUUUUAAUAA
Molecule: long non-coding RNA, 242 nt
Organism: Sipha flava (yellow sugarcane aphid)
Lineage: Eukaryota; Metazoa; Arthropoda; Insecta; Hemiptera; Aphididae
Exons: 2
Source: RefSeq, a predicted model, not a curated record